GAUGAACGCUAGCUACAGGCUUAACACAUGCAAGUCGAGGGGCAGCAUGGGCUUAGCUUGCUAAGCCCGAUGGCGACCGGCGCACGGGUGAGUAACGCGUAUGCAACUUGCCUCUUAGUGGGGAAUAACCCGGAGAAAUCCGGACUAAUACCGCAUACACUUAGUUAUCCGCAUGGAUGAUUAAGGAAAGAUUUAUUGCUAAGAGAUAGGCAUGCGUUCCAUUAGUUAGUUGGUGAGGUAACGGCUCACCAAGGCAUCGAUGGAUAGGGGAGCUGAGAGGCUUAUCCCCCACAUUGGGACUGAGACACGGCCCAA
Molecule: ribosomal RNA, 315 nt
Filed under: uncultured bacterium
Lineage: Bacteria
Description: bacterial SSU rRNA
Rfam family: Bacterial small subunit ribosomal RNA
Source: RNAcentral